GACGAACGCUGGCGGCGUGCUUAACACAUGCAAGUCGAACGGAAAGGCCCUGCUUUUGUGGGGUGCUCGAGUGGCGAACGGGUGAGUAACACGUGAGUAACCUGCCCUUGACUUUGGGAUAACUUCAGGAAACUGGGGCUAAUACCGGAUAGGAGCUCCUGCUGCAUGGUGGGGGUUGGAAAGUUUCGGCGGUUGGGGAUGGACUCGCGGCUUAUCAGCUUGUUGGUGGGGUAGUGGCUUACCAAGGCUUUGACGGGUAGCCGGCCUGAGAGGGUGACCGGCCACAUUGGGACGGAGAUACGGCCCAGACUCCUACGGGAGGCAGCAGUGGGGAAUAUUGCACAAUGGGCGGAAGCCUGCUGCAGCAACGCCGCGUGCGGGAUGACGGCCUUCGGGUUGUAAACCGCUUUCGCCUGUGACGAAGCGUGAGUGACGGUAAUGGGUAAAGAAGCACCGGCUAACUACG
RNAcentral lists this ribosomal RNA (466 nucleotides) under uncultured bacterium. Its description in RNAcentral is "partial 16S ribosomal RNA". It matches the Rfam family "Bacterial small subunit ribosomal RNA", at positions 28 to 505 of the family's 1533-position model. The record is from RNAcentral.